RNAcentral lists this ribosomal RNA (1012 nucleotides) under uncultured Oligotrichia. RNAcentral describes it as "SSU rRNA". It matches the Rfam family "Eukaryotic small subunit ribosomal RNA", at positions 1 to 1030 of the family's 1831-position model. The record is from RNAcentral. Lineage: Eukaryota; Ciliophora; Spirotrichea.
ACCUGGUUGAUCCUGCCAGUAGUCAUAUGCUUGUCUCAAAGACUAAGCCAUGCAUGUCUAAGUAUAAGUGUUAUACUGCGAAACUGCGAAUGGCUCAUUAAAACAGUUAUAGUUUAUUUGAUAAUCGAAUUUACAUGGAUAAUCGUGGUAAUUCUAGAGCUAAUACAUGGCUGGUGUGACCCGAACUUUUGCGGAAGGGCGGUAUUUAUUAGAUAACAAGCCAAUAUUCCUCUGGUCUAUUGUGGUGACUAUCAUAAUAACUGACGAAUCGCAAGGGCUUUGGCCGCGAUAAGUCAUUCAAGUUUCUGCCCCAUCAGCUUUCGAUGGUAGUGUAUUGGACUACCAUGGCGUUUACGGGUAACGGAGGAUUAGGGUUGAUUCCGGAGAGGGAGCCUGAGAAACGGCUACCACAUCUAAGGAAGGCAGCAGGCGCGUAAAUUACCCAAUCCUGACUCAGGGAGGUAGUGACAAGAAAUAACGGACGAGGCAUUCGGGCUUCGGGAUUGGAAUGAGCCGAAUUUACACCCCUUAGCGAAGAUCGAUUGGAGGGCAAGUCUGGUGCCAGCAGCCGCGGUAAUUCCAGCUCCAAUAGCGUAUAUUAAAGUUGUUGCAGUUAAAAAGCUCGUAGUUGGAUUUCUGGGAGGGUGCCGAUGUCCACCUAACGUGUGCGCAGCGGCGCCCUCUCAUCCUUCUGUUAGCGUCUCUUGGCAUUCAUUUGCUGGUGGCGGGCUCAGAUAUUUUACCUUGAGAAAAUUAGAGUGUUUCAGGCAGGCUAGGCCGGAAUACAUUAGCAUGGAAUAAUGGAAUAGGACUACGGUCUCUUUGUUGGUUUGAGGGACUGCAGUAAUGAUUAAUAGGGAUAGUUGGGGGCAUUAGUACUUAACUGUCAGAGGUGGAAUUCUCAGAUUUGUUAAAGACUGACUUAUGCGAAAGCAUUUGCCAAGGAUGUUUUCAUUAAUCAAGAACGAAAGUUAGGGGAUCAAAGACGAUCAGAUACCGUCCUAGUCUUAAC